Xyrichtys novacula (pearly razorfish) is the source of this 400-nucleotide non-coding RNA. Lineage: Eukaryota; Metazoa; Chordata; Actinopteri; Labriformes; Labridae. The record is from the annotation of a GenBank genome assembly.
GUCGCUACAUCUGUAAGUGCAAGUUAAAACUCUACUAUGCAAAGCGAAAGCCAUUUAUCAACAAUAUCCAGAAACGCCACCGGCUUCUCUGGGCCCGAGCUCAUCUAAGAUGGACUGAUGCAAAGUGGAAAAGUGUUCUGUGGUCUGACGAGUCCACAUUUCAAAUUGUUUUUGGAAAUAGUGGACGUCGUGUCCUCCAGGCCAAAGAGGAAAAGAACCAUCCAGACUGUUAUCGACGCAAAGUUCAAAAGCCAGCAUCUGUGAUGGUAUGGGGGUGCAUUGGUGCCCAAGGCAUGGGUAACUUACACAUCUGUGAAGGCAAUAUUAAUGCUGAAAGGUACAUACAGGUUUUGGAGCAACAUAUGCUGCCAUCCAAGCAACGUCUUUUUCAUGGACGCCC